ACGAACGCUGGCGGCAGGCCUAACACAUGCAAGUCGAACGCCGUAGCAAUACGGAGUGGCAGACGGGUGAGUAACACGUGGGAACGUACCCUUCGGUUCGGAAUAACUCAGGGAAACUUGAGCUAAACCGGAUACGUCCGAGAGGAGAAAGAUUUAUCGCCGAGGGAUCGGCCCGCGUCUGAUAGCUUGUUGGUGAGGUAACGGCUCACCAAGGCGACGAUCAGUAGCUGGUCUGAGAGGAUGAUCAGCCACAUUGGGACUGAGACACGGCCCAAACUCCUACGGGAGGCAGCAGUGGGGAAUAUUGGACAAUGGGCGCAAGCCUGAUCCAGCCAUGCCGCGUGAGUGAUGAAGGCCCUAGGGUUGUAAAGCUCUUUUACCCGGGAAGAUAAUGACUGUACCGGGAGAAU
Molecule: ribosomal RNA, 410 nt
Filed under: uncultured bacterium
Lineage: Bacteria
Description: bacterial SSU rRNA
Rfam family: Bacterial small subunit ribosomal RNA
Source: RNAcentral